GGGACACGUGGUAUCCUGUCUGAAUAUGGGGGGACCAUCCUCCAAGGCUAAAUACUCCUGACUGACCGAUAGUGAACCAGUACCGUGAGGGAAAGGCGAAAAGAACCCCGGCGAGGGGAGUGAAAAAGAACCUGAAACCGUGUACGUACAAGCAGUGGGAGCCUCUUAAUGGGGUGACUGCGUACCUUUUGUAUAAUGGGUCAGCGACUUAUAUUCUGUAGCAAGGUUAACCGAAUAGGGGAGCCGAAGGGAAACCGAGUCUUAACUGGGCGUUAAGUUGCAGGGUAUAGACCCGAAACCCGGUGAUCUAGCCAUGGGCAGGUUGAAGGUUGGGUAACACUAACUGGAGGACCGAACCGACUAAUGUUGAAAAAUUAGCGGAUGACUUGUGGCUGGGGGUGAAAGGCCAAUCAAACCGGGAGAUAGCUGGUUCUCCCCGAAAGCUAUUUAGGUAGCGCCUCGUGAAUUCAUCUCCGGGGGUAGAGCACUGUUUCGGCAAGGGGGUCAUCCCGACUUACCAACCCGAUGCAAACUGCGAAUACCGGAGAAUGUUAUCACGGGAGACACACGGCGGGUGCUAACGUCCGUCGUGAAGAGGGAAACAACCCAGACCGCCAGCUAAGGUCCCAAAGUCAUGGUUAAGUGGGAAACGAUGUGGGAAGGCCCAGACAGCCAGGAUGUUGGCUUAGAAGCAGCCAUCAUUUAAAGAAAGCGUAAUAGCUCACUGGUCGAGUCGGCCUGCGCGGAAGAUGUAACGGGGCUAAACCAUGCACCGAAGCUGCGGCAGCGACACUAUGUGUUGUUGGGUAGGGGAGCGUUCUGUAAGCCUGUGAAGGUGUGCUGUGAGGCAUGCUGGAGGUAUCAGAAGUGCGAAUGCUGACAUAAGUAACGAUAAAGCGGGUGAAAAGCCCGCUCGCCGGAAGACCAAGGGUUCCUGUCCAACGUUAAUCGGGGCAGGGUGAGUCGACCCCUAAGGCGAGGCCGAAAGGCG
This 991-nucleotide ribosomal RNA is filed under the name Escherichia coli. RNAcentral's name for it is "partial 23S ribosomal RNA". It matches the Rfam family "Bacterial large subunit ribosomal RNA", at positions 419 to 1411 of the family's 2925-position model. Lineage: Bacteria; Pseudomonadati; Pseudomonadota; Gammaproteobacteria; Enterobacterales; Enterobacteriaceae. The record is from RNAcentral.